RNAcentral lists this long non-coding RNA (2023 nucleotides) under Citrus maxima (pomelo). RNAcentral describes it as "long non-coding RNA (CMAX_LNC001722)". Lineage: Eukaryota; Viridiplantae; Streptophyta; Magnoliopsida; Sapindales; Rutaceae. The record is from RNAcentral.
AACUUGAUACAACACAAUAUACGAGCAAACAAAACUGAAAUUUUUGACAUGAAGUUAUACAUGUAUCAACUCUAAAUGUUUGAAACUAUUCGUAAUCUAAAUUCAGUCUAAAACUUAAAAUUAAAUCAGUACCCAUCAAUCAUUUUCGACACCGAAAAGUAAAGUCAGCACCAGCAUUCCUGUAGUACAAGUUAGCCUGUAGCUGUUUGCUGUGAGUGCUCUUUGAUUCUAGCUGAUGAAGCUUCAGUGAUCCACUGCACUCUUUAUUAGCCAUUCUUAAGCAGUCACCUCAAAACAAUCAAAAUAAUUAUCAGAUUUCAAAUUAAGGUAGGUAAGCGUGAUGAAAAAGGCUGGAAAAAUGAAGUCCUCAUAGAUAUUGUCCAGCAAAUUAUGUCCAAAAAGUUCUCUUUCAAUGGUUAAGGAAUUUGUCUCGUAUUCACAUUAAAAGAUAUAUAGCUAAGGUAUUUGUCUCAUAUUCACAUUAAAAUACAUAGCUAGGUAGCAACAUGUGGACAAUUCAUAUUCAUGGGUGUCAAGUCUUUUAAAGAUCCAGGAAGCUCAUAUUAUGAGUCAUAAAACUGCAAAAAGAUAUUAUAGCACCAACACAAAACUAGAUAUGCAAGAGAAUUUUUUAGAAUUCAUUAAUUCUCAUUAAUAUUUUUCAGAUAGAUUAAUUCAACAAUAUGCAGUUGACAAAAAUAUAUAACCAUAAUUCAUUCAGUGACACAUUUGCACAAUUUAAAAUUUACUGCAGAACAGAGGCAAAUUGAAUUAAAAGAAUAUUUAAAAAGGUCACAUGGAAUGAGAAUGAAAGCCAAAAUUAUAACGGUUUACUGUCAAGUUCCCCCAUCCUCUUAAGACCAGUAUGAGCACGAUCUGAUGUUUCUUUCAAGGCCUAUGAAAUUGGUAGAUAAACUAGUACACAUAGGUUAAGAACUGCAGAGAAGAACUAAAAGAAGCAAAGGUAAGCCUUUAACAGGAGUACAAAAAUCAUAUAAAAAUUAUGAAAAAUUGGACUUCAUCAUUCUACAUUGAAAGAGAUUACGUAAAUAGUUUGCAUAUCCUUCUCACUUAAUCACAAUUUAAAAUUUGUUUUCCAAUUUUCUCAUUCACUCAUGAGUUUCUGAGUCACCUACAGAUUUUUGGCAUCAACAACAGAUAAUUAUCUGAUAGCACAGAAAAUAGAUACUGCAUGCCAAUCCAUUCAAAAUCCUUUCUUCAGUUCUAACACUUUGAAAGCACAGUUCAGGUAAGCAAAAUAAGUCCUGAAAAACAGAAAAGAGGCGAAGACCAAAGUACAAAUUCUCACAAUUCAUGAUCUUGUAAACCAUCUAAAUGGAAAUCAUCCCAUUAACUACCGCAGUAGGUUUCUAGACUAAUGGAAGAAGAAAUGCUUACAUUAAUCAAUUCUUUACGACCAUCUUGUAGCUCACCGUAACUUUUAUGUUUUUUAUGAUUAAAGUGUGGUUCAAUGCUUCUACAUCUUCAAUCUCUCCUGGUUCAAUCCUUCUACAUCUUCAAUCUCUCCUGGUUCAAUCCUUCUACAUCUUCAAUCUCUCCUUCCUUUCCUCUCAAAUCUUUAAGCACUUUUUCCAUCUUUUGCCGGACCUCUGUAUCACCACCAUUGCACAUGUGCUUCAUCACAUUUAACGUCCCUCUCAAUCGCUCAAUUUCCUUGUUUUGCAUCCAGCUGAAGUAUUUUGUUAUGAAGCUUCUCCUUCUGCAUCUGUAUGAGAUUAAAAGUAGGAACGGUGGUCAUCUAUUGCCUCUGGUUUCGAAGGAAUUGAUAUGGAUGCAUUGUGGUUAUGACCAAAGCAUUAAAAAAAACAAACUUUGUCAUUAGCCUUCUGUUGUUCCAGCGCAGCCAAUUGAAGUGAACUGUUUCUCCUUGCAUUCUAAAAGAGGAGUAAAGUUUAUUUUGCAACCACACCUUUGAUCAGAGUCAACAAUGUGAGAGUGACAUAAGUAAGCUCAUAAGAAACCGUUACCAAAUUCCUUCUCACAGGAGAAACGGAGUGACAGG